This 253-nucleotide ribosomal RNA is filed under the name uncultured Sphingomonas sp. Its description in RNAcentral is "partial 16S ribosomal RNA". It matches the Rfam family "Bacterial small subunit ribosomal RNA", at positions 524 to 776 of the family's 1533-position model. Lineage: Bacteria; Pseudomonadati; Pseudomonadota; Alphaproteobacteria; Sphingomonadales; Sphingomonadaceae. The record is from RNAcentral.
UACGGAGGGGGCUAGCGUUGUUCGGAAUUACUGGGCCUAAAGCGCACGUAGGCGGUUCGUUAAGUCAGAGGUGAAAGCCCGGAGCUCAACUCCGGAAUUGCCUUUGAGACUGGCGGACUUGAACGUCGGAGAGGUGAGUGGAAUUCCGAGUGUAGAGGUGAAAUUCGUAGAUAUUCGGAAGAACACCAGUGGCGAAGGCGGCUCACUGGACGACUGUUGACGCUGAGGUGCGAAAGCGUGGGGAGCAAACAGG